AGAGUUUGAUUAUGGCUCAGGAUGAACGCUAGCGGCAGGCUAACACAUGCAAGUCGAGGGCAGCGGGAUGUAGCAAUACAUUGCCGGCGACCGGCGGAUGGGUGCGUAACGCGUAUGCAACCUACCUUAUACAGGGGAAUAACCUUUCGAAAGGGAGACUAACACCCCAUAGUAUUGAUUUAAGGCAUCUUAGAUUAAUUAAAUAUUUAUAGGUAUAAGAUGGGCAUGCGUAUGAUUAGCUAGUUGGUAAGGUAACGGCUUACCAAGGCGACGAUCAUUAGGGGUUCUGAGAGGAAGGUCCCCCACACUGGUACUGAGACACGGACCAGACUCCUACGGGAGGCAGCAGUGAGGAAUAUUGGUCAAUGGGCGCAAGCCUGAACCAGCCAUGCCGCGUGCAGGAAGACGGCCUUAUGGGUUGUAAACUGCUUUUACAUAAGACUAACCGUAUAUUUGCGAAUAUACCUGAAUGUAUUAUGAGAAUAAGGAUCGGCUAACUCCGUGCCAGCCGCCGC
Molecule: ribosomal RNA, 515 nt
Filed under: uncultured bacterium
Lineage: Bacteria
Description: bacterial SSU rRNA
Rfam family: Bacterial small subunit ribosomal RNA
Source: RNAcentral